UCAUGGAAUAAAUAAUAGUCGAAAAAUACGAACAACAGUUUAAAACUUAAAGAUUUUGGCGGUGUCUUAUCGAACCAGGGGAACCUGUCUCAUAACUCGAUAAUCCACGAUCACCCUACCUUCUUUAGAUCAACUCAGCUUGUGUACUGCCGUCGUAAGCACACCUCUAAAAGCAACAGUAAGUAUGCAAUUAUGAUAACACUCAUUUACGUCAGGUCAAAGUGCAGCUUAUGAGAAGGUGAUGAUGGGUUACAACCUAAAUAUAGAUACGAAAUAUGCCACUAAAAGUCAUAUAAAGGUGGACUUGGACGUAAUAAUAAUACCAAAUCACAAUGAAGACGAAUCUAAGACAUGUACACAUCGCCCGUCACUCUCGCCUAAAGGCG
Molecule: ribosomal RNA, 386 nt
Filed under: Aporrectodea rosea
Lineage: Eukaryota; Metazoa; Annelida; Clitellata; Crassiclitellata; Lumbricidae
Description: partial 12S ribosomal RNA
Rfam family: Bacterial small subunit ribosomal RNA
Source: RNAcentral